Molecule: ribosomal RNA, 459 nt
Filed under: uncultured bacterium
Lineage: Bacteria
Description: partial 16S ribosomal RNA
Rfam family: Bacterial small subunit ribosomal RNA
Source: RNAcentral
CCUACGGGAGGCAGCAGUGAGGAAUAUUGGUCAAUGGGCGGAAGCCUGAACCAGCCAAGUAGCGUGCGGGAUGAAGGCCCUACGGGUCGUAAACCGCUUUUGCACGGGGAUAACACCCUCCACUUGUGGACGUCUGCAGGUACCGUGCGAAUAAGGGCCGGCUAAUUCCGUGCCAGCCACCGGGGUAAUACGGAAGGCCCGAGCGUUAUCCGGAUUCCUUGGGAUUAAAGGGAGCGUAGGCGGGCGUUCAAGUCAGCGGUAAAAUUGCCCGGCUCAACCGCGCCCCGCAGUUGAAACUGGGCGCCUUGAGUGCACAACAGGCAGGCGGAAUUCGUGGUGUAGCGGUGAAAUGCAUAGAUAUCACGAGGAACCCCGAUUGCGAAGGCAGCCUGCCGGGGCGCGACUGACGCUGAGGCUCGAAGGUGCGGGUAUCAAACAGGAUUAGAUACCCGGGUAGUC